Molecule: long non-coding RNA, 384 nt
Organism: Ixodes scapularis (black-legged tick)
Lineage: Eukaryota; Metazoa; Arthropoda; Arachnida; Ixodida; Ixodidae
Exons: 3
Source: RefSeq, a predicted model, not a curated record
UGUGCAAUGGCUGCACGGCAUGGCCACCCUACAAAUCAAAUCGGUUGAUGAUGGCAAUUAGAGAGCGUGAAGAGCCCUCGACUGACUGGGCCACAUUCUCCUGUCAGGUGAUGGCAUCAUGUUUGACAUAUGAAGAUGCAAAGUACAAAGAAAAAAAAUUCGGAAGCGACGUCCGACCUAACAUUGAAUAAUGAAGAGCGGGAGAAGAGAAAAAGGAAGAGACUGCAGCAUACUCUUUCUUCAUUUGAGGAUGAGGACUUCUAUGACCAAGAUGAACGACGUAACACUCAGCCAGCCCCUCAACUUCCAGAACGUGCACCAGAGCCCAAGCAAAAAUGCACACGUGUAUGUUUGCUUUUUGUUGCUGCAAUUUCUUAACGCUUU